ACCCCCUGGCAAUGGGCAAAGAGACACCUUGUUGGUGUUGUUCUUAUAUCGGUCACGGGAAGAGCAGAUGGCAGUCCCUUGUUCAUCCCACCCUGAUGCCCAGCGUGGGGGCCAAAACUGUUUUGUGCCUAGGACACAUAA
Small nucleolar RNA from Meriones unguiculatus (Mongolian gerbil), 141 nucleotides. Lineage: Eukaryota; Metazoa; Chordata; Mammalia; Rodentia; Muridae. The record is from Ensembl.